This is a long non-coding RNA of Homo sapiens (human), 329 nucleotides long. RefSeq lists it as uncharacterized. NCBI's taxonomy places the organism in Eukaryota, Metazoa, Chordata, Mammalia, Primates, Hominidae. The transcript is spliced from 3 exons. The record is from RefSeq and is a predicted model, not a curated record.
GCCAGAUACAGAAAGACAAAUAUCACAUAUUCUCACCCAUAUGUGGGAGAUUACAAAAAGAAGUUGAUCUCCUAGAGUGAUUCUGAUAAAUGCCCCAUACAAAUGUCCUUCUAUUCCUCAGUAAAAUUUAAGUGAUUUCUGCAAGAAAAAAUAUUCAGCAACAGCAAAUCAACUAAAGCCAUCGCUCUAAGAACUAGAGAAACAGCAUAAAGGAAACAAACAAAAGGGAAAACAACAUCAUCAAAAAACAAACUUUCUGCCAUUGAGAAGUUCCGGAGGGAAAUUCACACAUUUAGUAAGUAAAUAAAUCCAUAACAAAAAGCCCAGGA